AGGACGAACGCUGGCGGCGUGCUUAACACAUGCAAGUCGAGCGGUAAGGCCUUUCGGGGUACACGAGCGGCGAACGGGUGAGUAACACGUGGGUGAUCUGCCCUGCACUCUGGGAUAACGCCUGGGAACUGGGUCUAAUACCGGAUAUGACCUGCUCUCGCAGUGGGGGGUGGGUAGGAAAGUAUUUAUCGGUGCGAGGAGUCGGGCCCGCGGCCUAUCAGCGUUGGUUGGGUGGGUAAUCGGCCUACCGAAGGCGACGACGGGUAGCCGACCUGAGGACGGGUCGACCGGGCCAACGACGUCGGGACUAGGAGACGACGGCCAGACUCCGACGGGAGGCAGCAGGUGGGAAUAGUGACACAAGUGGGACGAAAGCCU
RNAcentral lists this ribosomal RNA (378 nucleotides) under uncultured soil bacterium. Its description in RNAcentral is "bacterial SSU rRNA". It matches the Rfam family "Bacterial small subunit ribosomal RNA", at positions 26 to 384 of the family's 1533-position model. The record is from RNAcentral.